CCUACGGGAGGCAGCAGUGAGGAAUAUUGGUCAAUGGACGAGAGUCUGAACCAGCCAAGUAGCGUGAAGGAUGACUGCCCUAUGGGUUGUAAACUUCUUUUAUAAAGGAAUAAAACGAGGCACGUGUGCCUUUUUGCAUGUACUUUAUGAAUAAGGAUCGGCUAACUCCGUGCCAGCAGCCGCGGUAAUACGGAGGAUCCGAGCGUUAUCCGGAUUUAUUGGGUUUAAAGGGAGCGUAGAUGGGUUGUUAAGUCAGUUGUGAAAGUUUGCGGCUCAACCGUAAAAUUGCAAUUGAUACUGGCAGUCUUGAGUACAGUUAAGGUAGGCGGAAUUCGUGGUGUAGCGGUGAAAUGCUUAGAUAUCACGAAGAACCCCGAUUGCGAAGGCAGCUCACUAAACUGUGACUGACAUUGAUGCUCGAAAGUGUGGGUAUCAAACAGGAUUAGAUACCCCUGUAGUC
RNAcentral lists this ribosomal RNA (460 nucleotides) under uncultured bacterium. Its description in RNAcentral is "partial 16S ribosomal RNA". It matches the Rfam family "Bacterial small subunit ribosomal RNA", at positions 338 to 795 of the family's 1533-position model. The record is from RNAcentral.